Molecule: unclassified non-coding RNA, 70 nt
Filed under: Oryzisolibacter propanilivorax
Lineage: Bacteria; Pseudomonadati; Pseudomonadota; Betaproteobacteria; Burkholderiales; Comamonadaceae
Description: suhB
Source: RNAcentral
CCAGCACGCCCUACCAGGUCGACCAAGCACUCAGGCCAGUUCUUCGGGACUGGCCUUUUUGUUUUUCGCC